UAAUAAGUGAUGAUGGGAAUUAGUAGACUGAUCGAUCCAUUCAGAGAGGAAGUGGUUGCUGCAAACUUCUUGGUAGGUCUUUCGAAGCUGUCCUUGAGCUUUAUUUUAAUGAGAUGCAGAAAUUUUUCUGUAAUUAGGGUGGUACCGCGGAAUAGACUUUCGUCCCUUGA
Molecule: non-coding RNA, 170 nt
Filed under: Clostridium sp.
Lineage: Bacteria; Bacillati; Bacillota; Clostridia; Eubacteriales; Clostridiaceae
Description: T-box sequence
Rfam family: T-box leader
About the family: Uncharged tRNA acts as the effector for transcription antitermination of genes in the T-box leader family. T-boxes are found upstream of many aminoacyl-tRNA synthetase genes and some amino acid biosynthetic genes usually in Gram-positive bacteria. The anticodon of a specific tRNA base pairs to a specifier sequence within the T-box motif, and the NCCA acceptor tail of the tRNA base pairs to a conserved bulge in the T-box antiterminator hairpin.
Source: RNAcentral